AAUUAUUCUCUCUACACGUGAAAAAUUAUUUUCUCCAUAGAGAGUAGAAUAAUUCAAUUUACACAUGACUUGAGAAAGAAAAGAGAAUGAGGGGAGACAAAAGGAAAAAAAAUAGAUAAGAGAAAAAAAACCACUAAUCGCGGGUCUAACCAGGUUGCACAGUGUAAGACUGAGAGGAGAAGAGAGUAGAGAAGAGAGAGAGGAAAGAAUGUGAAUAUGAGAGAGAGAGCAAGGAAGAAAAUACUUGGUUGCGCAAUGUUUCCUUGGUCUGCUCUGCUUUGUUUUGCCUUGCGAUGUGCUUUCCAUUGGUGGUGUUAGGUGGAGCUAAU
Molecule: unclassified non-coding RNA, 329 nt
Filed under: Hevea brasiliensis (rubber tree)
Lineage: Eukaryota; Viridiplantae; Streptophyta; Magnoliopsida; Malpighiales; Euphorbiaceae
Source: RNAcentral